Lingula anatina is the source of this 83-nucleotide non-coding RNA. Lineage: Eukaryota; Metazoa; Brachiopoda; Lingulata; Lingulida; Lingulidae. The record is from Rfam.
UCACCCUACCAGGGAUGAUUGUGCGUCUAGUCCAUGUAGCUGUGACAUCAUGACUAGAUCCACACUCAUCCCUGUUGGGGAAC